This 499-nucleotide ribosomal RNA is filed under the name uncultured bacterium. RNAcentral describes it as "partial 16S ribosomal RNA". It matches the Rfam family "Bacterial small subunit ribosomal RNA", at positions 899 to 1397 of the family's 1533-position model. The record is from RNAcentral.
ACUCAAAUGAAUUGACGGGGGCCCGCACAAGCGGUGGAGCAUGUGGAUUAAUACGUCACUAACCGUAGAACCUUACCCAGGCUUGACAUCUAGGGAAUCCCCCUGAAAGGGGGGAGUGCUCGCAAGAGAGCCCUAAGACAGGUGUUGCAUGGCUGUCGUCAGCUCGUGUCGUGAGAUGUUGGGUUAAGUCCCGCAACGAGCGCAACCCUCACCGUCUGUUGCCAGCAUUCAGUUGGGCACUCUGACGGAACUGCCCGGGUAACCGGGAGGAAGGUGGGGAUGACGUCAAGUCAGCAUGGCCCUUACGCCUGGGGCUUCACACAUGCUACAAUGGCCGGUACAGAGGGUCCCGAGACCGCGAGGUGGAGGUAAUCCCAAAAAGCCGGCCUCAGUUCGGAUCGCAGGCUGCAACUCGCCUGCGUGAAGUUGGAAUCGCUAGUAACCGCCGGUCAGCUAAACGGCAGUGAAUACGUUCCCGGGCCUUGUACACACCGCCCGU